CAUCGCUCUUUGUAAAGAAUCUUAAGCAUAAGGAGUCCUGCCUGCCCGGUGACUAUUUUAGUUAAACGGCCGCGGUAUCUUGACCGUGCGAAGGUAGCAUAAUCAUUUGCCUUUUAAAUUGGGGCUGGAAUGAAUGGCAAGACGGGAAUUAAGCUGUCUCUCUCUUAUAAUUUGAAAUUUAUAUUUUUGUGAAGAAGCGGAAAUAUGGUCGUAGGACGAGAAGACCCUAUCGAGCUUUAAUAUAGGAAAAUGUAAUAAAUUUUUUAUUGUUUUAUGCUAAUUAGAGAUUACUAAUUUCUUGUAUAAUUACUAUAAGUACAGUAAUGUUGUACAUGUUUUAUUUGGAUUGGGGCAAUCACGGAGAAUAACCACCCUCCGUUAUUUUUUUUAAAAAAAAUCUUUUUAUGUUUGAGUAUUUCAAUUGAAGUGAUCCACCAAAGAAGGUGAUAAUAAGAAUAAGUUACCGUAGGGAUAACAGCGUAAUUUUUUUGGAGAGUUCAUAUUGAUAAAAAAGUUUGCGACCUCGAUGUUGGAUCGGGAUUUCCUGGGGAUGCAGCAGUUCCUAAUGGUUGGUCUGUUC
Molecule: ribosomal RNA, 580 nt
Filed under: Solaster dawsoni
Lineage: Eukaryota; Metazoa; Echinodermata; Asteroidea; Velatida; Solasteridae
Description: 16S rRNA
Rfam family: Bacterial large subunit ribosomal RNA
Source: RNAcentral